RNAcentral lists this ribosomal RNA (510 nucleotides) under uncultured diatom. RNAcentral's name for it is "SSU rRNA". It matches the Rfam family "Eukaryotic small subunit ribosomal RNA", at positions 488 to 1005 of the family's 1831-position model. Lineage: Eukaryota; Bacillariophyta. The record is from RNAcentral.
AGGCUUCAUGUCUUGUAAUUGGAAUGAGAACAAUUUAAAUCCCUUAUCGAGUAUCAAUUGGAGGGCAAGUCUGGUGCCAGCAGCCGCGGUAAUUCCAGCUCCAAUAGCGUAUAUUAAAGUUGUUGCAGUUAAAAAGCUCGUAGUUGGAUUUCUGGCAGGGGUGAGCGGCCACACACUAUGUGUGUGAGCUUGCUUACUCCGCCAUCCUUGAGGAGAUCCUAUUUGGCAUUAAGUUGUCGGGUAGGGGAUACUCAUCGUUUACUGUGAAAAAACUAGAGUGUUUAAAGCAGGCUUAUGCCGUUGAAUAUAUUAGCAUGGAAUAAUGAUAUAGGACCUUGGUACUAUUUUGUUGGUUUGCGCACUAAGGUAAUGAUUAAGAGGGACAGUUGGGGGUAUUUGUAUUCCAUUGUCAGAGGUGAAAUUCUUGGAUUUUUGGAAGACAAACUACUGCGAAAGCAUUUACCAAGGAUGUUUUCAUUAAUCAAGAACGAAAGUUAGGGGAUCGAAGAU